CUAAGGUUUCCUGGGGAAGGUAAAUCCGCCCAGGGUUAGCCGGUUCCUUAGUCGAGGCCGAAAGGCGUAGACGAUGGACAGCAGGUCAACAUUCCUGCGCCACAUGCUGGACCGAUGGAGGGACGGCGUCUGGAAGGUGAGGGGACGGAUAGAAAUGUCCCUCGCCGGUGUGGAAGGUAGCUGUAGGCAAAUCCGCAGCGACAUCCGGAAGCAUCGGACAAAGACGCUUAUGUUUCGAUAGUCAUCCGAAGGACGUCCAAGAAAAGCUUCUAGGGUUGAAGGCAUGUGACCGUACUAAAACUGACACAGGUAGGCGGGACGAGAAGUCCUAGGCGCUCGGGAGAACACUGGUUAAGGAACUCUGCAAAAUGGCCCCGUAAGUUCGCGAUAAGGGGUACCCCCUGAUGUUUAUAGCAAUGGGGGGUCACAGUAAAUCGGCAUCAGCAACUGUUUAUCAAAAACACAGGACUCUGCUAACUCGCAAGAGGAUGUAUAGAGUCUGACGCCUGCCCGGUGUUGGUAGGUUAAGGAAGAGGGUUCGCCGCAAGGCAAAGCCCGCGACCGAAGCCCCAAUAAACGGCGGCCGUAACUAUGACGGUCCUAAGGUAGCGAAGUUCCUUGUCGGGUAAGUUCCGACCUGCAUGAAUGGCGUAACGACUGAUGCACUGUCUCAACCAGUGACCCGGUGAAAUUGUAGCCGUGGUGAAGAUGCCACGUACCCGCAGUGUGACGGAAAGACCCCGUGAACCUUCACUGUAGGCUGAUAUUGGUCUCGGACGUGUUCUGUGUAGGAUAGGUGGGAGGCUACGAAGCGGUGACGCUAGUCAUCGUGGAGCCAACGUUGAAAUACCACCCUGAAUUCGUUUGAGUUCUAACUCUGAUUCCCGUGAAUCCGGGCAGAGGACAGUGUCAGUUGGGCAGUUUGACUGGGGCGGUCUCCUCCAAAAGAGUAACGGAGGAGUUCAAAGGUACCCUCAGCCUGGUUGGCAAUCAGGCAUCGAGCGUAAAGGUAGAAGGGUGCUUGACUGCGAGACUCAUAAGUCGAGCAGAUACGAAAGUAGGACUUAGUGAUCCGGCGGUGCUGGAUGGAAAGGCCGUCGCUCAUCAGAUAAAAGGUACUCCGGGGAUAACAGGCUUAUCGCUUCCGAGCGUCCAUAGCGGCGAAGCGGUUUGGCACCUCGAUGUCGGCUCAUCACAUCCUGGGGGUGGAGAAGCUCCCAAGGGUUUGGCUGUUCGCCAAUGAAAGUGGUACGUGAGCUGGGUUCAGACCGUCGUGAGACAGGUCGGUCC
Molecule: ribosomal RNA, 1290 nt
Filed under: Betaproteobacteria bacterium
Lineage: Bacteria; Pseudomonadati; Pseudomonadota; Betaproteobacteria
Description: partial 23S ribosomal RNA
Rfam family: Bacterial large subunit ribosomal RNA
Source: RNAcentral